UUGCCAUGGGGGAACCCUGAUGCAGCCAUGCCGCGUGUGUGAAGAAGGCCUUCGGGUUGUAAAGCACUUUCAGCGAGGAGGAAAGGUUGGUAGCUAAUAACUGCCAGCUGUGACGUUACUCGCAGAAGAAGCACCGGCUAACUCCGUGCCAGCAGCCGCGGUAAUACGGAGGGUGCAAGCGUUAAUCGGAAUUACUGGGCGUAAAGCGCACGCAGGCGGUUGGAUAAGUUAGAUGUGAAAGCCCCGGGCUCAACCUGGGAAUUGCAUUUAAAACUGUCCAGCUAGAGUCUUGUAGAGGGGGGUAGAAUUCCAGGUGUAGCGGUGAAAUGCGUACAGAUCUGGAGGAAUACCGG
RNAcentral lists this ribosomal RNA (353 nucleotides) under uncultured bacterium. RNAcentral describes it as "bacterial SSU rRNA". It matches the Rfam family "Bacterial small subunit ribosomal RNA", at positions 364 to 712 of the family's 1533-position model. The record is from RNAcentral.